AUACGGAGGGGGCAAGCGUUGUUCGGAAUUACUGGGCGUAAAGGGCGCGUAGGCGGACGAUCAAGUCAGGGGUGAAAGGCCUGGGCUCAACCUGGGAAUUGCCUUUGAAACUGAUUGUCUAGAGUCCGGAAGAGGAUGGCGGAAUUCCCAGUGUAGAGGUGAAAUUCGUAGAUAUUGGGAAGAACACCGGUGGCGAAGGCGGCCAUCUGGUCCGGAACUGACGCUAAGGCGCGAAAGCGUGGGGAGCAAACAGGAUUAGAAACCCCAGUAGUCC
This 274-nucleotide ribosomal RNA is filed under the name uncultured bacterium. RNAcentral describes it as "partial 16S ribosomal RNA". It matches the Rfam family "Bacterial small subunit ribosomal RNA", at positions 523 to 796 of the family's 1533-position model. The record is from RNAcentral.